AAAAGUUCCUCUUAUUAUCAAUCCUGAGUUCACUUAAAUAGCUCUUUACUUUUUAACGGAAAUUUAACUGGAUUUACUGCCGCUGCACCUCAAGAGUUCAAAAAGUUAAGUCCAUCAGGUGAGCUAAAAUACAGGCGGCAUAAACAAUGAAAACGUAAAACAUAUAGAUUUGUAUUCGGCGUGACUUUUUUUAAAGGAGCAACAUCAAGAGCAAUAUUGUAAAAGCCUGGUCUUAACCAGGAGCAUCAGUACCAAGUGGACUUUGUUAGAAAUGCAAAUUCUUGGAACUUACCAGAAACCUGGGGGUGUGACUCGGCAAUCUAUAUUAACAAGCCGGUUAGGCCAUUCUAAGGCCCAUUAACGUUGAGAACGCUGCUCAGGGGCUGGCCGACUACCCUGUGUGAACCACAGCCAGACUGCUGCCAACGCUCUGAGAGUAGUUUCAGGAUGAAUAUUGGCAAAGACUCAAUGAGGGGAGAUACUCACAUUGCACCCCAAACUAAGCAACAUGGUUUCCCAAUGGAAGCCUGUCCCCUUGUGAUUGAAGAUCGCUGCCAGAAGUUUCCAACGUCACGUACUCUCAUCUCAAGUCCAGUGGAAAAGAACAUUUCCUAACAGUCCCAAGAAAAGUAUUAUUAGUUUCUGAUCCCUGAAACAAGCACUGUGGCCAGGACAAAAGAAUGCUUUGACUACUCAGACCCGAGCCACGUGCUCCUGGGCAUGGGGGCUCAACCCAAAGGACAUGAAUGGAGGUUGGGGAAAAGGGUAGCUUCCCAGAAUUAAACUGGGUAACUGUCUCCAGGAGAUGAAUGAAUGGGUCUGAGGAAGUAAAAAUGAAAGUAGUCUGCUGCAACCUUCUUCUAAGCUAAUAAAUUUCAAUUUGCUUCAUGGAAAAUACAACUGAAAAACAUCCAUCGGAUCCAGAUGGAGAGAGAAAGAGACAGGGGUAAAAAGUAGAGUUGACAAUCAAACGAAGGAAAGAAAGAAAAGAGAAAAGGAACAAUUUUUCUAAAAGGACAUUGGUUCCUGAGUCCUGUUGCUUCAGCAGACAAGACCCAACUAUAGCAGCUGCCAUAGCCCAGCAGCUAGGUGCGAGAAAGAGAAAAAGGCAAGAGAGAAGCUGAGAGACAGAAUAAGGACUAAGUCUCUACCAUCUGCAAAGUAGGCCCGGGGUCCUGGUCAUACUAACCACGGUGAAGAGAAAGGGAAGUGCAGGCAAAAUCAUGAGAACAGUAGAUGGUAACCAGGUCCACUUGGAAGCAGCAGACCCCGGAGCAGCCAAUCAGGGCAGCUGUGCAGAGAGAAGAGACCGAGCAAGGUGGCAGGGCCUCCUCUCAUGAACGAUGGAGAAUCAUUCGGUAGUAUUCAAGCCAGGAGAAAGGAAGAAACGAAUGAAAAGAGGCACAGCCAUAAACUGACCUUUCAACAUGCAAUGAUGUGCCUACUUUGAAGGGGGGCCAGUCAUCAGAUGAGUGUUCUGUGCCUUGGAGAGAGUGGAGGCCACCCCCUCCCAGAUAUCUACCAAUGCAGAGUGUGUACAGUGAGGGGCGGAGAGGAGAUGAAAGAGAAAUGGAGGGAAAUAGAGACAGACCUAGGAUAGAUCCUGGAGGAGCUCCUAUCUGUAAGGAAAGGGUAGGCUCUCUUUUCCCUUACAGGUUUUGUUGGUUUUGGUUUUCAGAGUCUUUGGAGGUUCAUAGCAGGCUGGACACAGGUUUGCCUCUGAAUUGCUGGUUAGUGAACCGCAAGGGACUUGAGCUUGCCCAGGAAGAGCGUGGAGGAGAUUUGGUAAGGGGUAAUACUGCAUGUGGAAGAGUUUUUGCAUGUAAUAUCAGACACUAGUUACAUUUUCUGGGUUUGAGAGGAAGUAUUGUCCUUUUUGAAAUCUGGUUUGGCCAUUACAAACCUUUUAAUGAUGUUAAAUUUUGCAAAAGUUACCAAUUCUUGCCAGAAUCCUUGACACGGAUCUUGCGAGUUAGCAGGUGCCGUAAAGUGCUGGAGGAAGAGCAGCGGUGGGCCAAGAAAGGUGCUCACCCUCAGAUGGUGUAGAAGCAUCUGGGUCUAAGGAUUUAACACCAGCAGGGAGAGGAAAUCUAUCAGAGGUGAGGCAUCUGAACUAACUACUUUUCCUGAAGGGACUAUGAGGGGCCAGGGCAGGCUGCCCCAAGAUGUGCCCCUUUGGCAUGAAGACUAUUCAGAGCCAAAGGCAAUCAAGAUCCUAAAAGCUCAAGAGAAACCUUUGCCCCUCCCUUGCCUAUGGAGCAGAAUCUAAAUUGGGGGCCCUUCCCAGAAUAAGGGUGAUUAGCAGAAAUAAAUUUUAUCUGAGUGACCCAUCUGCAUGCCAGGGCAACAGUCUGAUUACCACACAUCUGCUCCCCUUGUUGCCCCGGGAAGUGCAUUCCUUUCCUCCAAAGUCCCAACCCCCUUCCCUGCUUCCUUGGUUCAGGAUGACACAUAUACCUCAUUUUGCCCAUCUUUGAAAAUCCCAUGUCUGGGUGGAUUCCGUGUACAUAAGCUAUUAAGUGAUUUUCCUCUGUUAAUCUGUCUCAUGUCAAUUUGAUUCUCAGUCCAGCUAGAAGACCUUUGAGGGGACAGGAAUUCUUGCUCCCUGACAGGACACAGUAUCUGACCAGGGAGAACAGACUGGAAAUGAAAACAGAUAGCUUUUUGAAUCCAGAACCAAUUACAUGUAAACAGAUCAUACUGGCGUUUAGGAGGGAGUCAUAUGUUCGAAAUCCUGGGUCAAGCUAUUUUAGGGAUAAGAAAGCAUGGUGAAAAGAAAUCAUUGGUGAGGAAAUCGUUUCUUAAAACCCCAAAUCACUCACACCUUUUGCCAGGCAUUAUUAUAGUGCUUUACAUAGAUCCCCUCACUUAGUUCCCAUCAAAAUCCUACAAAGAAGGGGCUAUCAAUAAUAUUGCUACUUCACAGAAAGCCAAAGCAUAGAGGCAUUAUGUAGCUUAUCAAAGUUCACAGAGCUAGUUAGAGAUGUGCUAGGAUUAGAACCCAGGCAUUCCCGGUUUCAGAGUCAAAACCUUAAAACCACUGUAUCAUCCAAAGCUGAGGUUGGCUUAGGAAUUUAUACCAAACCUCACAUCACAGUGACCGUGGACUCUCCUGUCUACACCCAGCAGCUAUCUCCUGGCUGAAUACAGAGUCUGAGUACCUUGGAGUAGCUUGCUUGAGAAUGACAGAUUGUGGGAGAAGCCUUGUGGGGGUAGGGAGGGGAGAGAAAAAAAUGAUCCCAGCUUUCAAGAAUAGGAUGCAUUUCACAUCCGGCACCAGGAAAUCAGACCUACGUCUUGCUUUCAAGAUCUGUUUUCCCCUCACUGAGCACAGUUAAAGGGGAGAAAACGAAUUCUGCCCAUUGAAAAAGGGCAGACUAUAAUGAAAAACAGCUUUAAAGACGCUUCAGCACAUAAAGUCUUUGAGCUACAUCACUGACAAUGGUUUACAAGUUUAUUUUCAAUUUGCAGUUAUGCUGAGCAGACAUUUUGGGAAGCACAGCACUAAUUCAGGCUGCAGCAUCAUCUGCUGUGCGUCCAUCUGUACAGGAGCGGAUUGUCACAGACGAUCAGGUGCAGAUUUGCCCAGACACAUCGUUCGCAAGAUGGCCAGCCAGGAGAGUCUUCAGAAUUAUUUUCCUCACCAUUUUUGCUAAGUAUACAAUUCUAAGGAAGCAAAUUUCUUGGCAAAGACUUUUUUUCCCCCUAAAGAAAAAGCUUUUACUUAGAGUAGAGCAAAGAAAGCACAGGCUUCAAGUCCAUAACUGAAUCCUAGCUCUGGCACUUGCUAAUUGGCAGCCUUGAGCACGUACGUUAUGCAAACCCUCUGAACUUUACUUCCUUAUUUAUAACAUGGGGUGAUGAGUUCAUUUAUAUGUGAGGCUGUGGGGGGAAUUAAAGGAGAUAAUAGCCAUUUUCUUCUUAGGCUGCAUAAAAACAGGAUUUGGGUGUUCACUAUUGUGUCCCCCACACUUAAGCAUAGCAAUGGCACAUAAUAGGUGCUUAAUAAAUAGGUGUUGAAGGAAUGAAUGUGUGAAUAACACUAUCCUUUAUAACUGACAUGUAGGGACAUGUCAGAGCUAAUUUCUUCUUUAUUUCUCCCAAAGGGAAAAAUCAGCUCUCCCUCUCAGCCUCUGUUCCUUCCUAAGGGGAUUACUUCCCAGGACUGACUGCAUGUCUGCUAUCCUAAGAACUUUUUCAAACUUUUUCUUCUUUUCCUUUUUUUUUUUUUGUUUGUUUGUUUGUUUGGGUGUUUUGUUUCCUGCAUCCGUGUCUUCCACUCCAUUGGCUUAUUCCACUGACCUUCCCGGAAAGGACAAAUUGAAGCUAAAUUUUUUAGUAUUUUCAUUUCUAACAUGUCGUUAUUCUAGAUGGCUACUGAUAAUUAAUUGCACUGAUACAGAAUUUGAGUCUGAAAUUUUUUCCCUCAGAAUUUUUAAGGUGAUUCUCCAGUGUUUCCUAUAAUCUGGUAUUGCUUAUUAAAGAAAAUUUGAAAAAUGUAAGUAAGUGUAAGAAAGAUAAAAAGCAACGGUAAUCCUACUACCCAGAGACACCCCUGUUCACAUUGUGAUAUAUACCUUCCCAGAACACACAUCAGCACACAUAUGUACACACGCACGAAGGCCACAUUGUAUAUAUAGUUUCGCAUCAUGACUUAGUGUCCUCAUGUCAUCAUAUAUAACUGAAUUACUUUUAAGACCCUUUUCAACCCUAAAGAUCAAUAGUUCUAUGACUUGUUAAGAAGAGAUUGUGACAUAUGCAUGGUGUCAGUAAGAGUAGCAGACAGUUUAGGAGUUGGUUUCAUUGAUACAAGCGUGAAAUAGAACUGGGGCAAAGGAAGAUAAGGUUAACUGCCUGCCAAGUGCUUUUCAUUUAGGGACACAGAAGAUUCUCAGUGAGUGUGAGGGAAUCAAAGACAUAUUACAGAUGGGGCUCAAUAAAUCAUCUGAGUAUAACCUACAGUCAGGAAAAGCAUGUUAGGAUGGAGAAAAGGGCCCAGCAGAGCCUCCCGGGAAGAACAUCUUGUGCAGCCUUUGGGAUAAAAGGGGAUUAUAUAUAAGCAAAGUGCUCAAGGCCCCACACAGGAGAUAGGCAACCAGUGCCAGUUUCAAAGGCUCGCAGUGAAAGAUGACAGCAAUGACAGAACACGUUUGCCUAACUGAACACACAAAGUCCCCAGCACUGGUUAGUGCACAUCGCCUAGGUGAGGUUCAAAGACAAAUGGAGAGAAGUAAAGAAGAGGAAGGUAAAGGAAAAUAGAGCAAGUAGCUACGGAUAGAGGCGUGGUACACAGAGAUGAGGGCUCCAGCUGAGGACAGAAGCAAGAAGCAUGUAUACAGCAAAGACACCUUCACGGUGCUGACUCCUGGGGUGUGAUGGUGGUACCAAUCCGCCCUUCUCUUAUUUCCCACUGUAGUAACAGCAAAAGGUUACAGUGAGUUGUGGCAGCACUGAAAAUCAGAAAUAAAUACCAACCAUCUGACACUCUGGGAGGAAUUUCUACUGGACAAAGCCUAGAAGGGGUCAUGUGGUUACAAACAGCAGUGCCAAGCAAAUGCUGCACCAUGUGAGACAGAACAGCGUGUCCAUGAGGAGAACGGGGCAGGAGAGAAGAUGGAGAGAGACGCCUCCCCACACCUCUCGUCCUGGAUAGAUCCUUACCUCAAAGAUGUGAAUCCUAAGCCAGAGAGUAAAGCAUGCAUACACACAUGUGCACAUUGAUAGGAACCUCAGUGAUCCCUCUGUUCCCAUAUACCGAGAGCUACCCUCUAGUGCAUGGAGAAAAUGGUAAGAGCAGACAGGAGGUAGAUGACAUUGUCAUAUGCAAUCAGGCUUCAGGAAGGCAUAUAAACAGGAAGCUUCAAGGAGUAAUGCACUCUGGGGAUUGUAUUUCUCAUGCUUCUGCUUGAAAUUUCAGAGAAAAUUCAAAAGUAAAUGCAGACAACUCCUAAUAUGAAAGAAUGAAUUGCUUUCCAAUGAAUCCGAAGAACAGGAAGCAGUAGACAAUCUUUCCUUCAUUCAAGAGAGCUGCAUUAGAUCACAUUUGUCAGAAUCAGCCCUGGACAGCCCUGGCAAGCUCCAUGUGGAAGGGGGAGAAGAAAAGGCAAGAGCAUUGAGAAAGAUAUCAAAGAAAAUGAAAAUAAUAAGGCAGACUAUAGAAGAAAUUCAAAUACAGGAGAAAGGAAUAACAUAGCACCCUCAUCAGGAGAGUCUGGAACCCAAGGAGUUAAAAGAAGUGAGUGAGGCCAAAGGAAAACUUAACCAAAUAAAUAAAAAUAAGCUCAACUGGAAAAACAGUACAAACGAGCAAUGCUCCAAGGCCCAGAAACUGGAGUAGAGAGAAAUUGGGAUGAGUUGCCAACAUGCCACUGGGAUUUCCCCCAGAACAGGAUUUCGAAAGAACUUUUGCCACUGCUCCUUCAUGCAGCCCACUUCAUUAGAACUGAUGGGUGAGACUGCCAGUGCUGACGGCUCCCUCUCUCCUGGCUCUGAACUCUGCAAUUUUGCAAACAGUCAGCCCCAGAAGUCAUCAGAAUAGGCACCUGGUUCCUUGGAAUGAUGACUGGGAAGUGCCCCAACCUGAAAUAUUUCCCACAGUCUCUGAAACUCCCAUCAGAGGCUCCUCGUUUAGGUCUGGGAGGCAGCUUUGCCUGGCUUCACAUGUGCUCUUCCUAUGACCUAGAAAGUUCCUCUCUCCUCUUUAACCCAUCUGACCAAGUCCUACUUUCCCUUUAUAGAUUCGCUUCAUGUCAUUCCUUAAGGAAGCCAUUCUGAAUACUCUUCACAGCACUAUCACAUCUGUAAUUAUAUAUCUAUGUACAAAAUGAGUAUUUUUUUAUUUUAGAGAGAGAAAGAGAAUGAGCAGGGGGUGGGGCAGAGAGAGAGAGAGAGAGAGGGAGAGAGAGAAUCUCAAGCAGGCCCUGUGUUAUCAGUGUGGAGCCUGACACUGGGCACAAUCCCACGACUCUGGUAUUAUAACCUGAGGCCAAAUCAAGAGUGAGCUUGACUCUGACUGAGCCACCCAGGUGCUCCCAAAUGAAUAAAAUUUUAAAUUUUGCCUGAGUAUCAAAAUAAGGACCAUAUAUAUUUGAUCACUGAUGAAUCGUCAAUAUAGAAUAAAGUACUUGGUAAUAAAUAUUGAAUAUACAAAUGAAUGAAUGAAAAUAUAGAUACCUUCAGAGAAGUAAUACUUUAUUUUUAUGUAUGUUUAUUUUUGAGAGAGAGAGAACACACAAGUGGGCGAGGGGC
Molecule: long non-coding RNA, 7248 nt
Organism: Felis catus (domestic cat)
Lineage: Eukaryota; Metazoa; Chordata; Mammalia; Carnivora; Felidae
Exons: 4
Source: RefSeq, a predicted model, not a curated record